UGCCCCAGUAACGGCGAGUGAAGCGGCAACAGCUCAAAUUUGAAAUCUGGCUCCCCCCUGGGGGGCCCGAGUUGUAAUUUGGAGAGGAUGCUUUGGGCGCGGCGCCUUCCGAGUUCCUUGGAACAGGACGCCAGAGAGGGUGAGAGCCCCGUACGGUCGGACGCCUAGCCCGUGUAAAGCUCCUUCGACGAGUCGAGUAGUUUGGGAAUGCUGCUCAAAAUGGGAGGUAAAUUUCUUCUAAAGCUAAAUACCGGCCAGAGACCGAUAGCGCACAAGUAGAGUGAUCGAAAGAUGAAAAGCACUUUGAAAAGAGGGUUAAACAGCACGUGAAAUUGUUGAAAGGGAAGCGCCUGUGGCCAGACGUGCGCCCCGCGGACCACCCGUCGCUCUGCGGCGGGGCACGCCGCGGCGGCGCAGGCCAGCAUCGGCUCUCCCAGGGGGACAAAGGUCGCGGGAACGUAGCUCCUUCGGGAGUGUUAUAGCCCGCGGCGCCAUGCCUCUGGGGGGGCCGAGGACCGCGCCUUCGGGCAAGGAUGCUGGCGUAAUGGCCACCAGCGACCCGUCUUGAAACACGGACCAAGGAGUCAAGCAUUGGGGCGAGUGUUUGGGUGACAAACCCGCACGCGAAAUGAAAGUGAACGCAGGUGGGAGCCUUCGGGCGCACCACCGACCGAUCCUGAUGUUUUCGGAUGGAUUUGAGUAGGAGCCUUGCCGCU
Molecule: ribosomal RNA, 716 nt
Filed under: Raffaelea xyleborini
Lineage: Eukaryota; Fungi; Ascomycota; Sordariomycetes; Ophiostomatales; Ophiostomataceae
Description: partial large subunit ribosomal RNA
Rfam family: Eukaryotic large subunit ribosomal RNA
Source: RNAcentral